AUUGAACGCUGGCGGCGGGCCUAACACAUGCAAGUCGAACGGUAACAGGAAGCAGCUUGCUGCUUUGCUGACGAGUGGCGGACGGGUGAGUAAUGUCUGGGAAACUGCCUGAUGGAGGGGGAUAACUACUGGAAACGGUAGCUAAUACCGCAUAACGUCGCAAGACCAAAGAGGGGGACCUUCGGGCCUCUUGCCAUCGGAUGUGCCCAGAUGGGAUUAGCUAGUAGGUGGGGUAACGGCUCACCUAGGCGACGAUCCCUAGCUGGUCUGAGAGGAUGACCAGCCACACUGGAACUGAGACACGGUCCAGACUCCUACGGGAGGCAGCAGUGGGGAAUAUUGCACAAUGGGCGCAAGCCUGAUGCAGCCAUGCCGCGUGUAUGAAGAAGGCCUUCGGGUUGUAAAGUACUUUCAGCGGGGAGGAAGGGAGUAAAGUUAAUACCUUUGCUCAUUGACGUUACCCGCAGAAGAAGCACCGGCUAACUCCGUG
Molecule: ribosomal RNA, 490 nt
Filed under: uncultured bacterium
Lineage: Bacteria
Description: partial 16S ribosomal RNA
Rfam family: Bacterial small subunit ribosomal RNA
Source: RNAcentral